CGCGAAAAGGGGAAGCCAUAGUUCUAGCUUAUGUUCAAUACCAGAUGUUCUAGGAAGAAUUUUCCAAUUUCUGUGACAGUUUCAAAUCGACCACGAAUCUGGUACUGGAAUCAACCUAAUCGUUUGAAUCUGUUCUUCAGAAAUAUAAACAUGGUAACCCCGUCUUCAAGCAUGAUUCUGGUUGUUUUCAUAUGCUUUAUUUUUGUAGGAGGAACAAAUGAAUCAAAUGACGAUCGUAGUUCCGAUAAAGUGCAUCUGCCUUUGUAUUUGGUUUAAGGUUUUUUAAAUCAUAAAAUAAAGUACUUUUGUUGCUUAUAUUGUAUCUGUACAGAAUGCAUGCAUUUGAGGCUAAAGCUAUUCUGCAACCAACCUUAAUGUGUAUUAGUGUUUGUUUGUUUUGAUUUUGAUUGCAUAAUAAACAGUAACACGGUGGCUUUUUUAUUAUAAAAGCUCCUUUGGUUUCUUUA
Helianthus annuus (common sunflower) is the source of this 467-nucleotide long non-coding RNA. RefSeq lists it as uncharacterized. NCBI's taxonomy places the organism in Eukaryota, Viridiplantae, Streptophyta, Magnoliopsida, Asterales, Asteraceae. The transcript is spliced from 2 exons. The record is from RefSeq and is a predicted model, not a curated record.